RNAcentral lists this ribosomal RNA (133 nucleotides) under uncultured bacterium. RNAcentral's name for it is "partial 16S ribosomal RNA". The record is from RNAcentral.
GGAGUUAGCCGAGGCUUAUUCCUUAGGUACCGUCAGGUUUCUUCCCUAAGAAAAGCGGUUUACGACCCAAGGGCCUUCCUCCCGCACGCGGCAUUGCUCCGUCAGGCUUUCGCCCAUUGCGGAAAAUUCCCCA